GACGAACGCUGGCGGCGUGCUUAACACAUGCAAGUCGAACGGAAAGGCCCUGCUUUUGUGGGGUGCUCGAGUGGCGAACGGGUGAGUAACACGUGAGUAACCUGCCCUUGACUUUGGGAUAACUUCAGGAAACUGGGGCUAAUACCGGAUAGGAGCUCCUGCUGCAUGGUGGGGGUUGGAAAGUUUCGGCGGUUGGGGAUGGACUCGCGGCUUACCAGCUUGUUGGGGGGGUAGUGGCUUACCAAGGCUUUGACGGGUAGCCGGCCUGGGAGGGUGACCGGCCACAUUGGGACUGAGAUACGGCCCAGACUCCUACGGGAGGCAGCAGUGGGGAAUAUUGCACAAUGGGCGGAAGCCUGAUGCAGCAACGCCGCGUGCGGGAUGACGGCCUUCGGGUUGUAAACCGCUUUCGCCUGUGACGAAGCGUGAGUGACGGUAAUGGGUAAAGAAGCACCGGCUAACUACGUG
Molecule: ribosomal RNA, 468 nt
Filed under: uncultured bacterium
Lineage: Bacteria
Description: partial 16S ribosomal RNA
Rfam family: Bacterial small subunit ribosomal RNA
Source: RNAcentral